GAUGAGAACGCAGCGAAAUGCGAUAAGUAAUGUGAAUUGCAGAAUUCAGUGAAUCAUCGAAUCUUUGAACGCACAUUGCGCCCUUUGGUAUUCCGAAGGGCAUGCCUGUUCGAGCGUCAUUAUCACCCCUCAAGCCCUCGGCUUGGUGUUGGACGGUUUGGUGGAGGCCCCCUCGGGGGCUCCUGCCCCUCCCAAAGACAAUGACGGCGGCCUCGUUGGACCCCCGGUACACUGAGUUCUUCACGGGACACGUAUCGGACACAUGGGUUUACGGGACACGGUCUGCCUCCCCUCAGGGAGAAUCUUUCUAAGGUUGACCUCGGAUCAGGUAGGGAUACCCGCUGAACUUAAGCAUAUCAAUAAGCGGAGGA
This 371-nucleotide unclassified non-coding RNA is filed under the name soil metagenome. RNAcentral's name for it is "partial contains 5.8S ribosomal RNA, internal transcribed spacer 2, and large subunit ribosomal RNA". The stretch from base 5 to 119 matches the Rfam family "5.8S ribosomal RNA", at positions 40 to 154 of the family's 154-position model. The record is from RNAcentral.